Molecule: ribosomal RNA, 164 nt
Filed under: uncultured soil bacterium
Lineage: Bacteria
Description: partial 16S ribosomal RNA
Rfam family: Bacterial small subunit ribosomal RNA
Source: RNAcentral
GCCCAGACUCCUACGGGAGGCAGCAGUGGGGAAUAUUGCACAAUGGGCGAAAGCCUGAUGCAGCGACGCCGCGUGAGGGAUGACGGCCUUCGGGUUGUAAACCUCUUUCAGCAGGGACGAAGCGGAAGUGACGGUACCUGCAGAAGAAGCGCCGGCCAACUACG